This 494-nucleotide ribosomal RNA is filed under the name uncultured microorganism. Its description in RNAcentral is "bacterial SSU rRNA". It matches the Rfam family "Bacterial small subunit ribosomal RNA", at positions 9 to 524 of the family's 1533-position model. The record is from RNAcentral.
GAGUUUGAUCUUGGCUCAGAACGAACGCUGGCGGCGUGGAUAAGACAUGCAAGUCGAACGGGAGAAUUGCUAGCUUGCUAAUAAUUCUCUAGCGGCGCACGGGUGAGUAACACGUGAGUAACCUGCCCCCGAGAGCGGGAUAGCCCUGGGAAACUGGGAUUAAUACCGCAUAGUAUCGAAAGAUUAAAGCAGCAAUGCGCUUGGGGAUGGGCUCGCGGCCUAUUAGUUAGUUGGUGAGGUAACGGCUCACCAAGGCGAUGACGGGUAGCCGGUCUGAGAGGAUGUCCGGCCACACUGGAACUGAGACACGGUCCAGACACCUACGGGUGGCAGCAGUCGAGAAUCAUUCACAAUGGGGGAAACCCUGAUGGUGCGACGCCGCGUGGGGGAAUGAAGGUCUUCGGAUUGUAAACCCCUGUCAUGUGGGAGCAAAUUAAAAAGAUAGUACCACAAGAGGAAGAGACGGCUAACUCUGUGCCAGCCGCCGCGGUAAU